GCUCAGGAUGAACGCUAGCUACAGGCUUAACACAUGCAAGUCGAGGGGCAGCAUAAAUCUAGCAAUAGAUUUGAUGGCGACCGGCGCACGGGUGAGUAACACGUAUCCAACCUACCUAUUACUCGGGUAUAGCCUUUCGAAAGAAAGAUUAAUCCCCGAUACGAUAUUGAGUUCGCAUGAAUUUGAUAUGAAAGAUUUAUUGGUAUUAGAUGGGGAUGCGUUCCAUUAGAUAGUUGGUGAGGUAACGGCUCACCAAGUCUUCGAUGGAUAGGGGUUCUGAGAGGAAGGUCCCCCACACUGGAACUGAGACACGGUCCAGACUCCUACGGGAGGCAGCAGUGAG
Molecule: ribosomal RNA, 343 nt
Filed under: uncultured Bacteroidota bacterium
Lineage: Bacteria; Pseudomonadati; Bacteroidota
Description: bacterial SSU rRNA
Rfam family: Bacterial small subunit ribosomal RNA
Source: RNAcentral